GCGAGGGGCGCCCUAGGGUAACACCGGUAAUUGGGGCUAAGUCGUAACAAGGUAGCCGUACCGGAAGGUGCGGCUGGAACACCUCCUUUCUGGAG
Molecule: ribosomal RNA, 95 nt
Filed under: Bacteroides caecigallinarum
Lineage: Bacteria; Pseudomonadati; Bacteroidota; Bacteroidia; Bacteroidales; Bacteroidaceae
Description: partial 16S ribosomal RNA
Rfam family: Bacterial small subunit ribosomal RNA
Source: RNAcentral